This is a long non-coding RNA of Chenopodium quinoa (quinoa), 471 nucleotides long. RefSeq lists it as uncharacterized. Lineage: Eukaryota; Viridiplantae; Streptophyta; Magnoliopsida; Caryophyllales; Amaranthaceae. The record is from RefSeq and is a predicted model, not a curated record. The transcript has 2 exons.
GUAGACAACCUAUUCACCUUAAUCACUUUCUCUUACUAUAUUCCUAAAAACCAUAAAUUUCUCCCUUUCUCUUUCUACGCUCAGCCUCUCAAGGCCUCAAGCUGCUACUCCGCCCCACCGCCAUGCCGCCACCUCAAGUUCAGCCGCUUAAGAUCUCCUUCAGUCUUUCACUCGCCCAGAUCUCCUAAUACUCGUAUUUUCUCGGCUAAUCUCCACCUCUCCGGUGUCGGUUGUUGAUGACUACAUUUGAGGAAUUCAUUUCAGGCGUAUUAUUGGUACUGUUUUUUUUUUUUUUUGCUACUUUUUUUAUUAUGUAGUAAAAUGACUUAUGUAAACUUUGUAAUGUUAAGACUUUAUUAAGCUUUGUAUUUUUAAUUUGAGGAGUUGGAUUUGUAAUGCACUAAGACUAAUGCUAGUAUGCCACUACUUCGUAUAUGAGGAGUUAUAUGUUAAUUAAUGGUUUUUUAUUAA